UCGAGAAUCUUCGGCAAUGGACGAAAGUCUGACCGAGCGACGCCGUGUGUGUGAUGAAGGCCUUCGGGUUGUAAAACACUGUCAGUUGAGAGGAAAUCUCAAGGAGCUAUCUUCUUGAGUUGACCAACCUUCAGAGGAAGGACGGGCUAAGUUCGUGCCAGCAGCCGCGGUAAGACGAACCGUCCAAACGUUAUUCGGAAUCACUGGGCUUAAAGGGUGCGUAGGCGGCCUGUCAAGUGGGGUGUGAAAUACCUCGGCUCAACCGAGGAAUUGCGCUCCAAACUGAUAGGCUAGAGGAAGGCAGAGGUAAGCGGAACUUGCGGUGGAGCGGUGAAAUGCUUUGAUAUCGCAAGGAACACCAGUGGCGAAGGCGGCUUACUGGGCCUUUUCUGACGCUCAGGCACGAAAGCUAGGGGAGCGAACG
RNAcentral lists this ribosomal RNA (424 nucleotides) under uncultured bacterium. RNAcentral describes it as "bacterial SSU rRNA". It matches the Rfam family "Bacterial small subunit ribosomal RNA", at positions 355 to 774 of the family's 1533-position model. The record is from RNAcentral.